UGGGGAAUUUUGGACAAUGGGCGAAAGCCUGAUCCAGCAAUGCCGCGUGUGUGAAGAAGGCCUUCGGGUUGUAAAGCACUUUUGUCCGGAAAGAAAUCCUUGGCUCUAAUACAGUCGGGGGAUGACGGUACCGGAAGAAUAAGCACCGGCUAACUACGUGCCAGCAGCCGCGGUAAUACGUAGGGUGCAAGCGUUAAUCGGAAUUACUGGGCGUAAAGCGUGCGCAGGCGGUUUGCUAAGACCGAUGUGAAAUCCCCGGGCUCAACCUGGGAACUGCAUUGGUGACUGGCAGGCUAGAGUAUGGCAGAGGGGGGUAGAAUUCCACGUGUAGCAGUGAAAUGCGUAGAGAUGUGGAGGAAUACCGAUGGCGAAGGCAGCCCCCUGGGCCAAAUACUGACGCUCAUGCACGAAAGCGUGGGGAGCAAACAGGAUUAGAUACCCUGGUAGUCCACGCCCUAAACGAUGUCAACUAGUUGUUGGGGAUUCAUUUCCUUAGUAACGUAGCUAACGCGUGAAGUUGACCGCCUGGGGAGUACGGUCGCAAGAUUAAAACUUAAAUGAAUUGACGGGGUCAUAGCUGUUCCU
RNAcentral lists this ribosomal RNA (585 nucleotides) under uncultured bacterium. Its description in RNAcentral is "partial 16S ribosomal RNA". It matches the Rfam family "Bacterial small subunit ribosomal RNA", at positions 355 to 937 of the family's 1533-position model. The record is from RNAcentral.